GGGAGGCAGCAGUAGGGAAUCUUCCGCAAUGGACGAAAGUCUGACGGAGCAACGCCGCGUGAGUGAUGAAGGUUUUCGGAUCGUAAAGCUCUGUUGUUAGGGAAGAACAAGUGCCGUUCAAAUAGGGCGGCACCUUGACGGUACCUAACCAGAAAGCCACGGCUAACUACGUGCCAGCAGCCGCGGUAAUACGUAGGUGGCAAGCGUUGUCCGGAAUUAUUGGGCGUAAAGGGCUCGCAGGCGGUUUCUUAAGUCUGAUGUGAAAGCCCCCGGCUCAACCGGGGAGGGUCAUUGGAAACUGGGGAACUUGAGUGCAGAAGAGGAGAGUGGAAUUCCACGUGUAGCGGUGAAAUGCGUAGAGAUGUGGAGGAACACCAGUGGCGAAGGCGACUCUCUGGUCUGUAACUGACGCUGAGGAGCGAAAGCGUGGGGAGCGAACAGGAUUAGAUACCCUGGUAGUCCACGCCGUAAACGAUGAGUGCUAAGUGUUAGGGGGUUUCCGCCCCUUAGUGCUGCAGCUAACGCAUUAAGCACUCCGCCUGGGGAG
This 547-nucleotide ribosomal RNA is filed under the name Bacillus amyloliquefaciens. Its description in RNAcentral is "bacterial SSU rRNA". It matches the Rfam family "Bacterial small subunit ribosomal RNA", at positions 343 to 880 of the family's 1533-position model. The record is from RNAcentral. Lineage: Bacteria; Bacillati; Bacillota; Bacilli; Caryophanales; Bacillaceae.